RNAcentral lists this ribosomal RNA (424 nucleotides) under uncultured prokaryote. Its description in RNAcentral is "bacterial SSU rRNA". It matches the Rfam family "Bacterial small subunit ribosomal RNA", at positions 355 to 796 of the family's 1533-position model. The record is from RNAcentral.
UGGGGAAUAUUGGACAAUGGGCGAAAGCCUGAUCCAGCCAUGCCGCGUGAGUGACGAAGGCCUUAGGGUUGUAAAACUCUUUUGGCGGGGACGAUAAUGACGGUACCCGCAGAAUAAGCCCCGGCUAACUUCGUGCCAGCAGCCGCGGUAAUACGAAGGGGGCUAGCGUUGUUCGGAAUCACUGGGCGUAAAGCGCACGUAGGCGGACUGGUCAGUUGGGGGUGAAAUCCCAGGGCUCAACCCUGGAACUGCCUCCAAUACUGCCAGUCUUGAGUCCGAGAGAGGUGAGUGGAAUUCCUAGUGUAGAGGUGAAAUUCGUAGAUAUUAGGAAGAACACCAGUGGCGAAGGCGGCUCACUGGCUCGGUACUGACGCUGAGGUGCGAAAGCGUGGGGAGCAAACAGGAUUAGAUACCCCCGUAGUCC